UCAGAGAGUUGAGCAGUUGCUGUUUUAAAAUAGAGGAAAGUCCGGGCUCUACAGAAAUAAAGUGCUGGAUAACUUCCAGCAGGGGCAACCCUAGGGAAAGUGCCACAGAAAAUAUACCGCCAGUGUUUUUGGUAAGGGUGAAAUGGUGAGGUAAGAGCGCACCGCAUUCCUAGUAAUGGGAAUGGCAUGGUAAACCCCACUUAGAGCAAGACCAAAUAGAAGAAACACUUAUUGGAUUUCUGCAAUGUUUCUUGGGUAGGUCGCUAGAAAGGUUUGGUAACAAACUUUCAAGAUGAAUAACUGCUGUCAUAAUCAGAUACAAAACCCGGCUUAUAAACUCUCUGACAAU
RNAcentral lists this RNase P RNA (349 nucleotides) under Alphaproteobacteria bacterium. Its description in RNAcentral is "RNase P RNA component class A". It matches the Rfam family "Bacterial RNase P class A". From Rfam's summary of the family: Ribonuclease P (RNase P) is a ubiquitous endoribonuclease, found in archaea, bacteria and eukarya as well as chloroplasts and mitochondria. Its best characterised activity is the generation of mature 5'-ends of tRNAs by cleaving the 5'-leader elements of precursor-tRNAs. Lineage: Bacteria; Pseudomonadati; Pseudomonadota; Alphaproteobacteria. The record is from RNAcentral.